UUGUGGCUGCAAUUUAUCAGUCACCAUUUUAGUUAGGACGAUAUUUGAGCAAAUCAGAAACUUUCAGGUGCUCAUGCGCACUUACAUUUAAUGGUCUUUAAUAAGACGCAUAUGUCAGCAAGAUCAUCGUAUAUGAGGUUAUUUAAAAGAUUAUAAAAUCGCGUGAUUGUCUACAAAAUAUCAACAUGAAGUGUGCCUGGGUGUGGGCAGAGAAGUAAAAAGAGCCUUUCAUUUCAUAGAGCUAAACGACAAUUGUUGAGCAUAUUUUUAUCAAAAUUCGAGGUAUAGGGGGUCUCGUUAACAUUUACCAAAACAAUAUUGACAUUAUUAGAUCCAGUUCGGCAUACCCAAUGGACGCCACAGGUUGGCAGAAAAGAAUGGACAUCUAUCGAUAGAUCAUUUCUGUGUGAAAAAAGUUACCACGAAAAUGUCAGACCUGCUUCACGGAAUGAUGAUGCUAGAACUGCUUUACAGAAGGAUGACGCUAAACCUGCUUCACAAAAUGAUGAUGCUAGAACUGCUUUACAGAAU
Long non-coding RNA from Trachymyrmex septentrionalis, 531 nucleotides. RefSeq lists it as uncharacterized. NCBI's taxonomy places the organism in Eukaryota, Metazoa, Arthropoda, Insecta, Hymenoptera, Formicidae. The record is from RefSeq and is a predicted model, not a curated record. The transcript is spliced from 4 exons.